AGUGAACGCUGGCGGUAGGCCUAACACAUGCAAGUCGAACGGCAGCACAGUAAGAGCUUGCUCUUACGGGUGGCGAGUGGCGGACGGGUGAGGAAUACAUCGGAAUCUACUUUUUCGUGGGGGAUAACGUAGGGAAACUUACGCUAAUACCGCAUACGACCUACGGGUGAAAGCAGGGGAUCUUCGGACCUUGCGCGAUUGAAUGAGCCGAUGUCGGAUUAGCUAGUUGGCGGGGUAAAGGCCCACCAAGGCGACGAUCCGUAGCUGGUCUGAGAGGAUGAUCAGCCAAAAUGGAAAUGAGACACGGUCCAGACUCCUACGGGAGGCAGCAGUGGGGAAUAUUGGACAAUGGGCGCAAGCCUGAUCCAGCCAUACCGCGUGGGUGAAGAAGGCCUUCGGGUUGUAAAGCCCUUUUGUUGGGAAAGAAAAGCAGCAGGUUAAUACCCCGCUGUUCUGACGGUACCCAAAGAAUAAGCACCGGCUAACUUCGUG
Molecule: ribosomal RNA, 492 nt
Filed under: uncultured bacterium
Lineage: Bacteria
Description: partial 16S ribosomal RNA
Rfam family: Bacterial small subunit ribosomal RNA
Source: RNAcentral